GAUGAACGCUAGCUACAGGCUUAACACAUGCAAGUCGAGGGGCAGCGGUAUCGAAAUCUUGCUUUCGGUAGCCGGCCACCGGCGCACGGGUGAGUAACGCGUAUCGCACCUGCCUCAUACUUGGCAAUAGCCUUGCGAAAGUAAUAUUAAUGCCUGUUGUUUUCAGAGUCCCGCAUGAGUCUUUGAACGAAGUUUUAUCGCUAUGAGAUGGCGAUGCGUUCCAUUAGCUUGUUGGCGAGGUAACGGCCAACCAAGGCAUUGAUGGGUAGGGGUUCUGAGAGGAAGGUCCACCAGAUUGGAACUGAGACACGGUCCACACUCGUACGGGAGGCAGCAGUGAGGAAUAUUGGUCGAUGGGCGGAAGCCUGACCAAGCCAAGUAGCGUGCAGGAAGACGGCGCUCCGGGUUGUAAACUGCUUUUAGUUGGGAAUAAAACGGGGCUCGUGAGCCAUCUUGCAUGUACCAAAAGAAAAAGGACCGGCUAAUUACGUG
Molecule: ribosomal RNA, 492 nt
Filed under: uncultured bacterium
Lineage: Bacteria
Description: partial 16S ribosomal RNA
Rfam family: Bacterial small subunit ribosomal RNA
Source: RNAcentral